Molecule: ribosomal RNA, 637 nt
Filed under: uncultured bacterium
Lineage: Bacteria
Description: bacterial SSU rRNA
Rfam family: Bacterial small subunit ribosomal RNA
Source: RNAcentral
UAAAGAUUCAUCGCUGAUAGAUAGGCAUGCGUUCCAUUAGGCAGUUGGCGGGGUAACGGCCCACCAAACCGACGAUGGAUAGGGGUUCUGAGAGGAAGGUCCCCCACAUUGGUACUGAGACACGGACCAGACUCCUACGGGAGGCAGCAGUGAGGAAUAUUGGUCAAUGGGCGUAAGCCUGAACCAGCCAAGUCGCGUGAGGGAUGAAGGUUCUAUGGAUCGUAAACCUCUUUUAUAAGGGAAUAAAGUGCGGGACGUGUCCCGUUUUGUAUGUACCUUAUGAAUAAGGAUCGGCUAACUCCGUGCCAGCAGCCGCGGUAAUACGGAGGAUCCGAGCGUUAUCCGGAUUUAUUGGGUUUAAAGGGUGCGUAGGCGGCCUUUUAAGUCAGCGGUGAAAGUCUGUGGCUCAACCAUAGAAUUGCCGUUGAAACUGGGAGGCUUGAGUAUGUUUGAGGCAGGCGGAAUGCGUGGUGUAGCGGUGAAAUGCUUAGAUAUCACGCAGAACCCCGAUUGCGAAGGCAGCCUGCCAAGCCAUGACUGACGCUGAUGCACGAAAGCGUGGGGAUCAAACAGGAUUAGAUACCCUGGUAGUCCACGCAGUAAACGAUGAUCACUAGCUGUUUGCGAUACACAGUAA